GACGAACGCUGGCGGCGUGCUUAACACAUGCAAGUCGAACGGAAAGGCCCUGCUUUUGUGGGGUGCUCGAGUGGCGAACGGGUGUGUAACACGUGAGUAACCUGCCCUUUACUUUGGGAUAACUUCAGGAAACUGGGGCUAAUACCGGAUAGGAGCUCCUGCUGCAUGGUGGUGGUGGGAAAGUGUCGGCGGUUUGGGAUGUACUUGCGGCUUAUCAGCUUGUUGGUGGGGUAGUGGCUUACCAAGGCUUUGACGGGUGGCCGGCCUGAGAGGGUGACCGGCCACAUUGGGACUGAGAUACGGCCCAGACGCCUACGGGAGGCAGCAGUGGGGAAUAUUGCACAAUGGGCGGAAGCCUGAUGCAGCAACGCCGCGUGCGGGAUGACGGCCUUCGGGUUGUAAACCGCUUUCGCCUGUGACGAAGCGUGAGUGACGGUAAUGAGUAAAGAAGCACCGGCUAACUACGUG
RNAcentral lists this ribosomal RNA (468 nucleotides) under uncultured bacterium. RNAcentral describes it as "partial 16S ribosomal RNA". It matches the Rfam family "Bacterial small subunit ribosomal RNA", at positions 28 to 507 of the family's 1533-position model. The record is from RNAcentral.